Manihot esculenta (cassava) is the source of this 581-nucleotide long non-coding RNA. RefSeq lists it as uncharacterized. The record is from RefSeq and is a predicted model, not a curated record. The transcript has 3 exons. Lineage: Eukaryota; Viridiplantae; Streptophyta; Magnoliopsida; Malpighiales; Euphorbiaceae.
CAUCCUAACAACACAAAGUCUCUGGUUUGUCCUUGACAUGUGUUUCUGGAGCUUUCACUUUCUUUCAACACAAUAUAUUCCCUCUUAAUUUUAUUUCUAUUCAAUCAAUAUAUAUGGUGUCUAAACCCUCAAGUCCCUUCCUCCAUCAACUCUUUCUGGUGCAGUUUUCUGUUAGUUUCCCGAGAAAAUGAACGAUCCCAAGUAUUCUUAUCCCUACCCUCCUCCAGGUGCUUAUCAAGGUCCUCCUCCUCCAGUGAUGGCUCCUCCUCAGUAUUAUCCAGCUCCUCCACCACAACCACAGAGACAAGUAGGGUUUCUUGAGGGAUGCCUUGCAGCUUUAUGUUGCUGUUGUUUGUUGGAUGAGUGUUGCUGUGAUCCAUCAGUUGUGUUUGUGACCUAAUUUCAUUUGCUGCAGAAGAAAGUUUCAUCUCAACUUUUAUUUUGUUAUAUUCUGUUAUCAGAAAUCCAUUGAUGCUUAGCUUUUUUCUUCUGUUACUUAUGAAAUUGUCCUCUCAAUUUAUUUAUCAGAACAGACAUUUUGUAUUUAUUUAUAUAAAUAAACUAUAGAGAAUGGAGUGAAA